UCGAGAAUAUUCGACAAUGGGCGAAAGCCUGAUCGAGCGACGCCGCGUGCAGGAAGAAGGCCUUCGGGUCGUAAACUGCUUUUGCGUGGGAAGAAUUUUGACGGUACCACGAGAAUAAGGGGUUGCUAACUCUGUGCCAGCAGCAGCGGUAAUACAGAGACCCCGAGCGUUAUCCGGAAUUACUGGGCGUAAAGGGCAAGUAGUCGGUGAUGAUAGUCUGAUGUUAAAUCUCACUGCCCAACGGUGAGGCCGCAUGAGAAACGUCAUCACUCGAGCGAGUCAGAGGCACACGGAACGUGCGGUGUAGCGGUGAAAUGCAUUGAUAUCGCACGGAACACCAAACGCGAAGGCAGUGUGCUGGGGCUUUGCUGACGAUCAAUUGCGAAAGCGUGGGGAUCAAAAAGG
Molecule: ribosomal RNA, 405 nt
Filed under: uncultured bacterium
Lineage: Bacteria
Description: bacterial SSU rRNA
Rfam family: Bacterial small subunit ribosomal RNA
Source: RNAcentral